Molecule: long non-coding RNA, 1418 nt
Filed under: Bos indicus x Bos taurus (hybrid cattle)
Lineage: Eukaryota; Metazoa; Chordata; Mammalia; Artiodactyla; Bovidae
Description: lncRNA (ENSBIXG00000017815.1)
Source: RNAcentral
CUCUGUUCUCCGCGCCGCACUGAGGGGCUUUCUUCGCAGCCGUGGGAAACUGGUGGGCGAGCGCGCGCCCCGCCGCCAUGUGGACGCUCGGCCAGGGAAAGCCCAGUGAACCAGAAAAGGAGAAUUUUUCUGCAGUGCUGGAGUGUGAAAACGGCUACAGGAGGAGGAAAUGCCAGCUUCCACCCAGUUCUUCCUCCAUCACCCUCAUGAACUUCUUGGCCAGGGAAUACCCAUCACUGGAGCUUGUCGCCCCACUAAAGUGCUCUGGGGGUCCUGGGGUGCUUGCCCCUCUCUCCUCCAGCACUUGCCCACUCUGCUCUUCUGGCAGCUGAUGGUGGUUUCAGAAACAGUGAGGCCAGAAUCCCUAAAGCGCGCUCUGCUCACCAACCCCCACCCGCACCCCCUACCUCCAACCUAGAGCACUUGAGAUGACUAACUGCAGCGUGGAUGUCAAGGCAGGCCUGGAGCUCAGGAGGAGGGUACAGAGAGAAACCUGCUUUACCACUGGUGAACUUGACAUCAUGGUCUUGGACACGCACUGUGGAAAGAUGGGCUUGUACAUUCAAAAUGCAGGAAGCAGUGAGCUCCAGGAGAUGGUGAAGCUCCGGGAGUAGUGAAGAACAGGGAAGCCUGGCAUGCUGCAGUCCAUGGGGUCACACAGAGGUGGAAGGACUGAGUGACUGAACAAUAGCAACAAAGCAGUGAGCUCAAGGUCUGACCCAUAGCCCUUGCAUUCUGCUGAUGGGAAUGAGGGAAGACACCCAGAUGCACAGCCUCUGUAGCUGGAGACCAGACAGUGUUUCAUAGCAUCCUUCAUGACGGAGACCUUGAGGGUGGUUAUGUCCAAGGGCUGGUGAGUUGUCCGAGGAUGAGCCUCAAGGCCCAUGGCAGCAAGGAAAGCACUUCCUAUACAGCCUCCAAGUCUUCAGCAUGUUUGCAGGCACUUGGAUGGAGCUGUAGGUGGAAGACUCCUCAAGUUUGCAGACCAUCAAAUCUGAGAAGAGUAGGAAAUGCACUGUGUGAUAAAAGCUAACAGGUUUGCUCAGGCUGGGUGAAUAGGGCCCAUUUCUGAGAUGAGUCUGAAGACGGUUCAGUGUCACACUCUGCUUAUGGGGUCCAAGACAUCACCUGCCUCAGCAUGUGUGGGGAAAAAAAAAAACACGGAAGGAUCUGGGGUAUUCAGCAUAUUGCCAAUCAACUGUGUGGUUAAUCUGAACAAAACAGAGAUGUGAUCUUCAGCUACAUUGAAGAAGUUCUUGUUUUCCAAGAUUUCUUUGUCCUGUGAAUCCCAUUAAGGGAUUUCUUUUGGGUCCACUGACCACUCAAAUCAAAAACUUCUGGGGCUUGUUAAAAAUUCAGAUUUGGGGGCCCACCUAGGUUAUUCAUUCAGGCUGUAUAGGGAGGAAGCCCCAGAAGAU